This 1404-nucleotide long non-coding RNA is filed under the name Sus scrofa (pig). Its description in RNAcentral is "lncRNA (ENSSSCG00025018550.1)". The record is from RNAcentral. Lineage: Eukaryota; Metazoa; Chordata; Mammalia; Artiodactyla; Suidae.
AUUGAACCCACGUCCUCAUGGAUACUAGUUGGGUUUGUUACCACUGAGCCAUGACGGGCCCACUGAGCCACGACAGGAACUCCGGAAAACCUUAUAUAAUAUUUUUUGAAAUAAAGUUGAAUGUGGGGAGUUCCUAUUGUGGUGCAUUGGAAAUGAAUCCAACUAGUAUCCAUGAGGAUGUGGGUUCGAUCCCCGGCCUGGCUCAGUGGGUUAGGGAUCUGACGUUGUCAUGAGCUGGGGUGUAGGUUAUAGAUGAGGCUCCAAUCCCAUGCUGCUGUGGCUGCGGUGUAGGCCCGCAGCUGUAGCUCUGAUUUGACCCCUAGCCUGGGAACUUCCAUAUGCUGCUGGUGUGGCCCUAAAAAAAAAAAAAAGUGAUGCAUGUCACAUAAUACAAGCAGUAUAGAAGGGCCUAAGGUGAACAGCUCAACUCGCCUUCAAUCUCCCCAUCCCAAUGCCCCCAAUCCCACCCUCCUAAGACCCCCCCAUUCAUUUCUUAUGUAUCUUAAAUACAUUCUGUGCUCAUGCAAGGGAACAUGCAGGCAAUAGGUUCUUUUUCUCUCCAAAUCAGAACAUACUGUACAUCUCAUCUGGCUUUUCCCCUUAGCAUUUUGAAGAUCCUUUUAUUUAGCAUAAAUAUACUCUUGUUUGCUUUUUAGGGCCACACCCGAGGCAUAUGGAGGUUCCAGGCUAGGGGUCGAAUCAGAGCUAUAGCUGCCAGCCUACACCACAGUCACAGCAACGUCAGAGCUGCCUCUGCAACCUACACCACAGCUCACAAUGCGCCACAACGGGAACUCCAAACACAAAUACACUUUUUAAUGGCUGAAUGAUACUCCAUGAUGUGAAAGUACCAUGACAUAUUUACCAAGCCCUCAGAGUUGGACAUUCAGGAUUCCUGUCCAUUUAAGGCCCUUCAGGCUGGCAGGUUGGAGAUUCAACAGUUGUCCCUGAUGUUGUGCUCUUGUGUGUUUCUUCCUUGCUGGAAUCCUGGGCCUCCAAAGUCAGAGCUUGUGGGAGCUGGACGCAGCCAGGCACAUCCGGCCUCAGGAUGGGAGGAGCAGUGGGAGACUUGUCGGCACCCUGGGUUGACGUCUCCUUGGGGCACAGGAAGCAGAGAAGGAAUCUCCUCAUCUAUAAAACAAUGGAUUCAACAGGAAGGAUGCUCAGGACCCUCUGGUUCUGAACCGUGAUGAUCACGAUACUGAGGACAAUGAAGACGAUGCUAACAAACCCCAAAUGCAUUCAGCUGCAUUGAACGGGAGACGAAGAGACCGAAAAAUAUCUCCCUGAAAUGUCUGCAGGCAGGCCGCCUCUGUCACUUAUUUGCACAUUCAGAAGCGCUCCCCUUCCCUGCCCCACGUUUAAUCCUGAAAACGUAACUGAAUAAAUGUAAGGCAAAUCACA